AUUGAACGCUGGCGGCAGGCCUAACACAUGCAAGUCGAGCGGAAGAAGGGAGCUUGCUCCUGGAUUCAGCGGCGGACGGGUGAGUAAUGCCUAGGAAUCUGCCUGGUAGUGGGGGAUAACGUCCGGAAACGGGCGCUAAUACCGCAUACGUCCUGUGGGAGAAAGUGGGGGAUCUUCGGACCUCACGCUAUCAGAUGAGCCUAGGUCGGAUUAGCUAGUUGGUGGGGUAAAGGCCUACCAAGGCGACGAUCCGUAACUGGUCUGAGAGGAUGAUCAGUCACACUGGAACUGAGACACGGUCCAGACUCCUACGGGAGGCAGCAGUGGGGAAUAUUGGACAAUGGGCGAAAGCCUGAUCCAGCCAUGCCGCGUGUGUGAAGAAGGUCUUCGGAUUGUAAAGCACUUUAAGUUGGGAGGAAGGGCAGUAAGUUAAUACCUUCCUGUGUUGACGUUACCAGCAGAAUAAGCACCGGCUAACUUCGUG
This 484-nucleotide ribosomal RNA is filed under the name uncultured bacterium. Its description in RNAcentral is "partial 16S ribosomal RNA". It matches the Rfam family "Bacterial small subunit ribosomal RNA", at positions 30 to 507 of the family's 1533-position model. The record is from RNAcentral.